AAGACGCUAGUAAAAUUGUAAAUUACAUUGCUUUGUCAAGGCAAAAGUGUGGGUUAAAACCCCGCGUGUCUUA
Molecule: transfer RNA, 73 nt
Filed under: Novumbra hubbsi
Lineage: Eukaryota; Metazoa; Chordata; Actinopteri; Esociformes; Umbridae
Description: tRNA-Asp
Rfam family: tRNA
About the family: Transfer RNA (tRNA) molecules are approximately 80 nucleotides in length. Their secondary structure includes four short double-helical elements and three loops (D, anti-codon, and T loops). Further hydrogen bonds mediate the characteristic L-shaped molecular structure. tRNAs have two regions of fundamental functional importance: the anti-codon, which is responsible for specific mRNA codon recognition, and the 3' end, to which the tRNAs corresponding amino acid is attached (by aminoacyl-tRNA synthetases). tRNAs cope with the degeneracy of the genetic code in two manners: having more than one tRNA (with a specific anti-codon) for a particular amino acid; and 'wobble' base-pairing, i.e. permitting non-standard base-pairing at the 3rd anti-codon position.
Source: RNAcentral